CGAGGGGCUCCUCAGAGGAGACGAGGAAGGAGUCCAUGCUGCCCCCUCCAAAAAGCUGACGUCUGUCGUCACGCAGGGCCAAAGGCUUGCUCUCAUCGUGGUAGCCAAACACCGUGAGCAAAACCUGUGAUUGAAAUUGUGGUGCCGGCAUCCAAGCGAAAGCCUGUGUAGACGGUGACUAUGUAAUGGCAGUCAGGGUUGGGGCUUAACUUGUGUCCAGUCGGUGUAGUCAGACCCACCUACAAGUGAUGUCACAAUGAUCUCCAAGGAUUUCCAAGGAUCUAUAGAUCAAUGGUCUUUCAAUGAACAAUUAUUCUACAAUCCUGUUAUCAGCACUUUAUUCUUGCCAAUUUCAUCACAACAUAGCAGAAGUAACAGGUACAUCUUUUUCCAUGGCUUCUGUCCAACUUUUGUUCAAUAACACAAAGCAUGGUUAUCAAAUUAUGAAGGCAUAGUUACUAAAAAGUGAUUAAAACAGUUAAUAAUGAAAACAAGUUGAUCAGAAGUAUAAGACAUGACACCAUACCUAGUAAGACAGAAAUCUGUAUCUGUCCUUGGUGCUGAAGAACAUUACUUAAUACAUAAUCAUUAUGGUACAACUAGCAAAAUGUUAUACAAAUGCAAACUACAAAAACAACUAAUGUUACAUUAUGUAAAGGAGUGGCAAUAAACUUAGUUGCAGCUAGUACAUGACUAAGUGUACUAAGAACAAAAUAUAUAUCAUUCUUAGAUCGGCAGACUUUCACAGUCACAACAGUAAUAGAACUUUUUUUCAAGUUUUAGAAUUGAAGGAAUGCAGGGUAACUAACCUUUG
Long non-coding RNA from Branchiostoma floridae (Florida lancelet), 814 nucleotides. RefSeq lists it as uncharacterized. The transcript is spliced from 3 exons. The record is from RefSeq and is a predicted model, not a curated record. Lineage: Eukaryota; Metazoa; Chordata; Leptocardii; Amphioxiformes; Branchiostomatidae.